CAUUAAUGUGAGAGACUUAGAAAA
This 24-nucleotide non-coding RNA is filed under the name Cricetulus griseus (Chinese hamster). The record is from RNAcentral. Lineage: Eukaryota; Metazoa; Chordata; Mammalia; Rodentia; Cricetidae.